This is a long non-coding RNA of Daphnia pulicaria, 655 nucleotides long. RefSeq lists it as uncharacterized. NCBI's taxonomy places the organism in Eukaryota, Metazoa, Arthropoda, Branchiopoda, Diplostraca, Daphniidae. The record is from RefSeq and is a predicted model, not a curated record. The transcript has 4 exons.
AAUAGCUAAUUUAAUAAUUUGUGUGACGUGUCGUAGGGGAAGCUGCGGGAAUAAUCUAGUCUUCAUCCCCGCUUGAUUCAUUUCGUGCAAAGGCGUGACGAAUUCAAGUUGAGGUGUUGCGUGCUGUCUGCAAGCAAGCAAUCCAAUUGGCUGUCGCUAGGUGGCUAAAAUGAUGUCCACCAACAUGGUAGCGCCAUGUUGUUUCUAAUAACAGACGCAGCCGAAAUGAGUGUUGAAUGUUUAUCGUGACGUACUGACGUUUCCCAGUGCUGAAAAUGGAAAGGUGAUUUAGCAUGUAAACAGUUAAUGGCCAAAUUAUAAACAAGGGUCUAAACUACAUGUUUCUAAAUUUGCAUACCAGACUUUUUGACUGAAGUCAUGUCGUUCGAAGAAAAAGGACGUUGACUACACAGUCAACAAGGUCCCUUGUUUGAAAACCCGUUGGCUGCUACCUGUGAAUCCCCCUUUUUACUUCCUUGAACGGGCCCUCUUAAUUGAGGGUAGCUCCUUCGCUACUGAUCAUCCACUGGACCCGACUUCAUCCUUUGGUGAAAGCUGACGAGAGAACGCUGUAAUUCAAGACUGAUAAAUUGUGUAGUUAUGAUGUUAGAUAAAUUACAAGUGCAUAUCUGGGCUCCCUUCUUCAGUGGCCCCA